RNAcentral lists this unclassified non-coding RNA (343 nucleotides) under soil metagenome. RNAcentral's name for it is "partial contains 5.8S ribosomal RNA, internal transcribed spacer 2, and large subunit ribosomal RNA". The stretch from base 1 to 120 matches the Rfam family "5.8S ribosomal RNA", at positions 35 to 154 of the family's 154-position model. The record is from RNAcentral.
GAUGAAGAACGUAGCGAAAUGCGAUAAGUAAUGUGAAUUGCAGAAUUCAGUGAAUCAUCGAAUCUUUGAACGCACAUUGCGCCCGCCAGUAUUCUGGCGGGCAUGCCUGUUCGAGCGUCAUUACAACCCUCAGGCCCCCGGGCCUGGCGUUGGGGAUCGGCGAGCCUCCGCGCCCGCCGUCCCCUAAAUCUAGUGGCGGUCUCGCUGUAGCUUCCUCUGCGUAGUAGCACACCUCGCACUGGGAAACAGCGCGGCCACGCCGUUAAACCCCCAACUUCUGAACGUUUGACCUCGGAUCAGGUAGGAAUACCCGCUGAACUUAAGCAUAUCAAUAAGCGGAGGA